RNAcentral lists this ribosomal RNA (460 nucleotides) under uncultured bacterium. Its description in RNAcentral is "partial 16S ribosomal RNA". It matches the Rfam family "Bacterial small subunit ribosomal RNA", at positions 338 to 795 of the family's 1533-position model. The record is from RNAcentral.
CCUACGGGAGGCAGCAGUGAGGAAUAUUGGUCAAUGGACGAGAGUCUGAACCAGCCAAGUAGCGUGAAGGAUGACUGCCCUAUGGGUUGUAAACUUCUUUUAUAUGGGAAUAAAACGUUCCACGUGUGGGAUUUUGUAUGUACCCUAUGAAUAAGGAUCGGCUAACUCCGUGCCAGCAGCCGCGGUAAUACGGAGGAUCCGAGCGUUAUCCGGAUUUAUUGGGUUUAAAGGGAGCGUAGGUGGAUUGUUAAGUCAGUUGUGAAAGUUUGCGGCUCAACCGUAAAAUUGCAGUUGAAACUGGCAGUCUUGAGUACAGUAGAGGUGGGCGGAAUUCGUGGUGUAGCGGUGAAAUGCUUAGAUAUCACGAAGAACUCCGAUUGCGAAGGCAGUUCACUGGACUGCAACUGACACUGAGGCUCGAAAGUGUGGGUAUCAAACAGGAUUAGAUACCCGUGUAGUC